Molecule: transfer RNA, 65 nt
Filed under: Parapanesthia pearsoni
Lineage: Eukaryota; Metazoa; Arthropoda; Insecta; Blattodea; Blaberidae
Description: tRNA-Thr
Source: RNAcentral
GUUUUAAUAAUUUAAGGAUNAAAUAUUGGUCUUGUAGACCAAAAAUAAGNAAAACUUUUAAAACU